This 29-nucleotide small RNA is filed under the name Bombyx mori (domestic silkworm). Its description in RNAcentral is "ovarian small RNA-34006". The record is from RNAcentral. Lineage: Eukaryota; Metazoa; Arthropoda; Insecta; Lepidoptera; Bombycidae.
UGCGUCAUACGCUGGCCGGUACUUUGUGC